GCCCCGGUAGCUCAGCUCGGUGAGAGCACCGGCUUGGUAAGCCGGGGGUCGCGGGUUCAAGUCCCGCCCGGGGCU
RNAcentral lists this transfer RNA (75 nucleotides) under Nitrososphaerota archaeon. Its description in RNAcentral is "tRNA-Thr". It matches the Rfam family "tRNA". From Rfam's summary of the family: Transfer RNA (tRNA) molecules are approximately 80 nucleotides in length. Lineage: Archaea; Thermoproteati; Nitrososphaerota. RNAcentral also lists the same sequence under 1 other name. The record is from RNAcentral.